Molecule: transfer RNA, 77 nt
Filed under: Actinomycetes bacterium
Lineage: Bacteria; Bacillati; Actinomycetota; Actinomycetes
Description: Actinobacteria bacterium tRNA-Val
Rfam family: tRNA
About the family: Transfer RNA (tRNA) molecules are approximately 80 nucleotides in length.
Source: RNAcentral
GGGCGCUUAGCUCAGCUGGCUAGAGCAUCUCCCUUACAAGGAGGAGGUCGGGGGUUCGAGUCCCUCAGCGCCCACAA